Molecule: long non-coding RNA, 1086 nt
Filed under: Sarcophilus harrisii (Tasmanian devil)
Lineage: Eukaryota; Metazoa; Chordata; Mammalia; Dasyuromorphia; Dasyuridae
Description: lncRNA (ENSSHAG00000020842.1)
Source: RNAcentral
AUGAGAAGGAGAGGGGGCUCGACAAAAAUGAGGGGGGAAGAAAGGGGAGAUGCUCUCUUAAAUUCUCCUGAUCUCCCAUCCCGUUCUAGCCUGCCUUUCUUCCCCUUCCCUAAAGGACCAGUCCCCCCCGUCCGCCCUUUCAUUAAUGCACCGAAGGGCUGGAUCCCCCAGGUUUGGGAGUUAGCUCCUGCAGGGUGGGACUGUGCACUGGUGCCUCGUGCAGUGCAGAGCACAAAACAAACGUUUCAGGAAUACUUGGUGAUGAGGAAGUGUCGUGCCAAAGGAAAUUUCAAACGCGUCCUAGGAUUCCAACUUUCUGACAUCUGCUUUUCACGCCAAAUUAAUGUUUUAUUGCCUGAAUUAUGUUCUAGUAAACCAGGAUGCAAAGGUUUCCAAUCAGCCUUCCUGUGCCCUGACAACUGCGAUGUAUCAGAUAUGCUGGAUGAGACAAGUUUUUUCCAAGGCAUGAAAAGAAGCUGUAUGUCAAGGGUCCAUUCUACAAGUACAGUCACAGCCAAUUACAGUCCCAAGCAGCAAGAAGGAGGGAACAAAGAUAUUGACACUUCUCCUUCCCUGCAACCUACUCCCCACCAAUUAAAAUUCUGAGAAGCUCAAAGGAGACUGAAAAGUGAGAAGCAAAGAUAGUAUCUGAAAAGUCUAGGAGGAUAAAUGUGGGAAAGUCCAGUCAUGUAUCUCCACCCAUGGAUAUGUUGUAUAUGAUCACACAGACACAGGAAAUGGGAAACUGUACAAGUACUUUGAACUGCUGAAUGUCACUGAAUAAAAAACCACAACAGUAUGUUAUAUGAUUUCUGUGUAUCAGAGUAUCUCAUUCCAAUGCUGACCUAGAAGAUGGGAGAAGUGGCACCUUAGCAGUACUUGCCUAUUAUCCAGGUUCUUUGAAUUAGAUCUCUUCAUUACCUGAGCAAAUAAAUCAAAACUCCUUCACAUCUCAUCCUAGGAAACCCUUGUCCAUAUUUUUUCUGUAAGCUUUACCCAAAGUUCCCAUUCAACUGGCUAGACAUUUUUCUCUGGCUAUUUUAAUAUUCCACAGGUGGUGCCAUAGCAUUAAGUUUAUCUGUCAUU